UACGUAGGGUGCGAGCGUUGUCCGGAAUUAUUGGGCGUAAAGAGCUCGUAGGCGGUUUGUCGCGUCUGCCGUGAAAGUCCGGGGCUCAACUCCGGAUCUGCGGUGGGUACGGGCAGACUAGAGUGAUGUAGGGGAGACUGGAAUUCCUGGUGUAGCGGUGAAAUGCGCAGAUAUCAGGAGGAACACCGAUGGCGAAGGCAGGUCUCUGGGCCGAUACUGACGCUGAGGAGCGAAAGCGUGGGGAGCGAACAGG
RNAcentral lists this ribosomal RNA (253 nucleotides) under uncultured bacterium. RNAcentral's name for it is "partial 16S ribosomal RNA". It matches the Rfam family "Bacterial small subunit ribosomal RNA", at positions 524 to 776 of the family's 1533-position model. The record is from RNAcentral.